AGAUUCUGGCACAAAACUGUUUUGUAAUCUGGUGUUUUGUUAUGUAUCAUUUUAUGGAAUAGGGUCAGUUUCUCAAUGCGCCUUCUUUCUGCUAGAGGUAAAAGAUCAGUUUCUGAAUAUAAUUU
This is a long non-coding RNA of Haliotis rubra (blacklip abalone), 125 nucleotides long. RefSeq lists it as uncharacterized. NCBI's taxonomy places the organism in Eukaryota, Metazoa, Mollusca, Gastropoda, Lepetellida, Haliotidae. The transcript has 3 exons. The record is from RefSeq and is a predicted model, not a curated record.